This 45-nucleotide non-coding RNA is filed under the name Schistosoma haematobium. The record is from RNAcentral. Lineage: Eukaryota; Metazoa; Platyhelminthes; Trematoda; Strigeidida; Schistosomatidae.
AUCCAGUUGACGAGUCCCAAAUAGGAUGAAACGUACGUCCUGGAU